RNAcentral lists this ribosomal RNA (429 nucleotides) under uncultured bacterium. RNAcentral's name for it is "bacterial SSU rRNA". It matches the Rfam family "Bacterial small subunit ribosomal RNA", at positions 355 to 796 of the family's 1533-position model. The record is from RNAcentral.
UCAAGAAACUUCCACAAUGGACGAAAGUCUGAUGGAGCGACGCCGCGUGAUUGAUGAAGUCCUUCGGGACGUAAAGAUCUUUUAUGGGGGAGGAAGUAAUUGACGUUACCCCAUGAAUAAGUAGCUCCUAACUCUGUGCCAGCAGGAGCGGUAAUACAGAGGCUACAAGCGUUACCCGGAAUCACUGGGCGUAAAGGGUGUGUAGGCGGUCGUGUUAGUCUGCUGUUAAAGAUUUUGGGCUUAACCCAGAAAAUGCAGCAGAAACGGCACGACUUAGAGGAUGUGAGAGGUACAGGGAACUCAAGGUGUAGGGGUGAAAUCCGUUGAUAUCUUGGGGAACACCAAAUGCGAAGGCACUGUACUGGCACACUCCUGACGCUGAAACACGAAAGCGUGGGAAUCGAACGGGAUUAGAUACCCCUGUAGUCC